This is a non-coding RNA of Chiloscyllium plagiosum (whitespotted bambooshark), 367 nucleotides long. The record is from RefSeq and is a predicted model, not a curated record. Lineage: Eukaryota; Metazoa; Chordata; Chondrichthyes; Orectolobiformes; Hemiscylliidae.
CUGACCUCCAACAAACACAACCAUCUUCCUAUGUGUCAGAUUUCCACUAUUUGCUCCCUCUCUUUGUCACUGGCCUAUACCGUACAGGAUUGGAGAAUAGAGGCAUGCACUCCUCCCAGAACCUGCAGAUCAGAUCACUGCAUCUGCACAGGGUGGACUUUCUAAACUAAAGUGCAGUCUAACCUCGGACAUAACUGUUUCUUUGUCUUUCAAUGGAUGGUAAAGAUCCUGUGGGAAUACCUGACAUUUGAGGGAGCAUUUUUCCAGGAUGCUGACUGAACAUUUCACUUGCCCUCCCUUCCCAGGACUGUCCUGGAAUCUCCUGCAAUUAAACAUUCGGUCCACUGCCUGUGCAAAAUAAAAUAUC